This 375-nucleotide ribosomal RNA is filed under the name uncultured bacterium. Its description in RNAcentral is "bacterial SSU rRNA". It matches the Rfam family "Bacterial small subunit ribosomal RNA", at positions 524 to 898 of the family's 1533-position model. The record is from RNAcentral.
GACGAACCGUGCGAACGUUGUUCGGAUUCACUGGGCUUAAAGGGCGCGUAGGCGGGUUCCCAAGUCGGGGGUGAAAUCCCACGGCCCAACCGUGGAAGAGCUUCCGAUACUGGGAGUCUGGAGGGAGGUAGGGGCGUGUGGAACUUCCGGUGGAGCGGUGAAAUGCGUAGAUAUCGGAAGGAACGCCGGUGGCGAAAGCGACGCGCUGGACCUCUUCUGACGCUGAGGCGCGAAAGCCAGGGGAGCAAACGGGAUUAGAUACCCCGGUAGUCCUGGCCCUAAACGAUGGGUACUAGGUAGUGGGCCUGGCAUGGGCUCCCUGCCGAAGCGAAAGUGCUAAGUACCCCGCCUGGGGAGUAUGGUCGCAAGGCUGAA